AAUGGGGGCAACCCUGAUCCAGCCACGCCGCGUGAGUGAAGAAGGCCUUCGGGUUGUAAAGCUCUUUCGGCCGGGAAGAAAUCGCAUGGGUUAAUACCCUGUGUGGAUGACGGUACCGGCAUAAGAAGCACCGGCUAACUACGUGCCAGCAGCCGCGGUGAUACGUAGGGUGCGAGCGUUAAUCGGAAUUACUGGGCGUAAAGCGUGCGCAGGCGGUUAUAUAAGACAGAUGUGAAAUCCCCGGGCUUAACCUGGGAACUGCGUUUGUGACUGUAUAACUUGAGUGUGGCAGAGGGGGGUGGAAUUCCACGUGUAGCAGUGAAAUGCGUAGAGAUGUGGAGGAACACCGAUGGCGAAGGCAGCCCCCUGGGUCAACACUGACGCUCAUGCACGAAAGCGUGGGGAGCAAA
RNAcentral lists this ribosomal RNA (410 nucleotides) under uncultured bacterium. RNAcentral's name for it is "bacterial SSU rRNA". It matches the Rfam family "Bacterial small subunit ribosomal RNA", at positions 370 to 772 of the family's 1533-position model. The record is from RNAcentral.